CGGUAGCACAGAGAGCUUGCUCUCGGGUGACGAGUGGCGGACGGGUGAGUAAUGUCUGGGAAACUGCCUGAUGGAGGGGGAUAACUACUGGAAACGGUAGCUAAUACCGCAUAACGUCGCAAGACCAAAGAGGGGGACCUUCGGGCCUCUUGCCAUCAGAUGUGCCCAGAUGGGAUUAGCUAGUAGGUGGGGUAACGGCUCACCUAGGCGACGAUCCCUAGCUGGUCUGAGAGGAUGACCAGCCACACUGGAACUGAGACACGGUCCAGACUCCUACGGGAGGCAGCAGUGGGGAAUAUUGCACAAUGGGCGCAAGCCUGAUGCAGCCAUGCCGCGUGUAUGAAGAAGGCCUUCGGGUUGUAAAGUACUUUCAGCGGGGAGGAAGGUGUUGUGGUUAAUAACCGCA
Molecule: ribosomal RNA, 406 nt
Filed under: Enterobacter sp.
Lineage: Bacteria; Pseudomonadati; Pseudomonadota; Gammaproteobacteria; Enterobacterales; Enterobacteriaceae
Description: bacterial SSU rRNA
Rfam family: Bacterial small subunit ribosomal RNA
Source: RNAcentral